RNAcentral lists this long non-coding RNA (2187 nucleotides) under Gossypium barbadense (sea-island cotton). Its description in RNAcentral is "long non-coding RNA (GBAR_LNC017796)". The record is from RNAcentral. Lineage: Eukaryota; Viridiplantae; Streptophyta; Magnoliopsida; Malvales; Malvaceae.
UUCGCAUAGCUAUUAUAAUUUACAAUCAAAAUGUAAUUAACAUCGUACUCAAACCUAUACAUGCCAUAAGAUUAAGUUCAAAUAUUUAACAAAAUACCAAAGGAAGUCGAUAGUAUGAUGGACUAUGCUGAUGAUCCCCGAGCUCGUAACUCGUCUCCAAAAUCUAUAAAAUCAAAUGGACGAAAACAAACAAAGUAAGCUUUUAUAGCUUAGUAAGUUUACAGCAUAACUAAAUGUAUAUAAAUAUAUAUAAUAUAACCUUUUAAUCUAUUUCACUGAGAUUCCAAUUAACACGAAAACUAAUUUUUAUACAUUAUUGUACUCAGACCAUUUUAUUUAUAUUCAGAUAUGUAUGCCUGUCGAAUGCGAUCAUUUGAAUAUUUAUUUAUACCAAACAACAUUACAACCGAAUGUAUACAACCGAUCAUAUAUAUAUUAUACACAUAUCAUAACCGAACGUGUAUGUAUACUCAUGAUAAACUUUAAACCAAUACAAAUCUAAUACAUAUGAACGAAUGCAUUCAUUUUCAUCAAAUACUUAUAAACAAAGAUAUAUAUAUCUCGAAUGCAUAUGUAGUUACUAAUCAAGUAUGCGUACCAAAUAUUUAUAAGUAUAUAUUUAUCAAAUGCAAAAUCCCAAUGCAUAUAUAUAUAUUUUACAAUUGCAUAAACCGAAUAUAUAUAAUCAUCAAACGCACUUAGCCGAAUGUAUAUAUAAAUAUACUUAUCAAUUAAAUAUAUCCAAAAUCAUAUAAUUGUACACUUAAUCACAUGUUUAAAAACAGAUUCACCGGCAUUUAGCCUGCUAGGCUUAAAGCCUGAUUCAGUACACCGGCACUUAGCCUGCUAGACAUAUAGCCUGAAAUAUUUCACCGGCAUUAAGCCUGUUAGACAUUUAGUCUGAAGUGUUUCACCGGCAAUAAGCCUGCUAAGCGCUAAGCCUGAAAAUCUCACUUUUCCCAUAUACAUAAUAAUUUCCUCAAAUACUUAUUAAUAGCAAACACACAUUCAUUGUAGUGCAUAUUCAAUCACAAAAGAGUUUGCAAUUCAUACAUUCAAUUCAAUUCAAGAAUCUGUACACGAAUAUACAUUUAGAUAUAUUCGAACUCCCAAGUACGUAUUUAACAUUUAUACCUUAAAAUAUAAUCAAGACCUAUUCAUAUAUAUAUAGAUGUUCCAACUCCCAUAUACCUACUUAUUUGAACUUAUCUGUACAAUUACAACAUACAUACCUUUAAUCAAACCCAAAUGUUUUUACCUACAUAUAUAUAUGUUCGAAACUUAUGUGCACAUAUAUAUAUAACUCUCAUACAACCAACCAAAUUCAAGUAUAUAUACAUAUAGAUACAUAUAUAAUUAUUUGAAUAUAUAUAUACCUUUAUACCAUUCAUACUUUAACUUUAUUCAAAUAUUUAUAUAAGCAUAUACCUAUAUAUUCGAACAUUGUAUAUACAUAUUUAUACCAUUUAUAAUUUGAAUUUAUUCAAUUAAAUUACUUUUAAUUAUAGCUCAACAACAAACAUAAUAGAUAUACAUACAUAUAUAUUGAUUUGAUAACAUUAAAUAGCUGAUAGACUUACCUCGGAUAUUAGCAGACACGAUCGACUAUUCGAUUACUUUCGUUUUUCCCCGAUCCAAAUUCGUUUUCUUUGUUUCUUGAUCUAAACAUAAUCAAAUUUAACCUUUUUAUUCAUCAAAACAUUCAAUUAAGUCCAAAAAUACAUAAAUGGAAAAAUUACCAUUUUACCCCUAACAUUUUGCACUUUUUGCAAUUUAGUCCUAAUACAAAAAUACACCAAAUACACAAAAUUUAUCAAAAUCAUACCUUAGCCGAAUCUUCCAAUGGUCCCUAGUAGCCCAUAUAUUUCAUUUAUUUCACAUUUAAGCCCCUAAAUUUUCAAAUUCCACAAUUAAAUCCCUAAUUUGGAUUUUUUUAUAAAAAAUCACUUAAUUAAACAUGAUAAUCAAACAUCAAAGAUUUAUUUUUCAUCAUCAAACAAUAAAUUCCUCACAUUAUCAACAAUGGCAAAUCUCAAAUUCAUCAUCAAAUCCAAAAAUUAAAGCAUGGGCUAGGUAAUAUACAAAGCAACGAUAUCAAAAACGUAAAAAUUAUUGAAAACCAAACAAAAUCCACACCUCAAUUUGAGCUUCAAAGUGCCGAAUCUUUAAAGCUUUCAAAUGGUUCUU